CCUUGGAAACGAGGUCUAAUACCAAAUACCUUCUUUUAACACAUGUUAAAAAGAGAAAUGCUCCGGCGCUUUGGGAUGGUCUCGCGAUCUAUCAGCUUGUUGGUGAGGUAACGGCUCACCAAAGGCAUCGACGGAUAGCUGGUCUGAGAGGAUGUCCAGCCACAUUGGAACUGAGACACGGUCCAAACUCCUACGGGAGGCAGCAGUAGGGAAUCUUGCACAAUGAGGGAAACCUUGAUGCAGCGACGCCGCGUGCGGGACGAAGGCCCUAGGGUUGUAAACCGCUUUCAGUAGGGACGAAAGUGACGGUACCUACAGAAGAAGCCCCGGCCAACUAUGUG
Molecule: ribosomal RNA, 341 nt
Filed under: uncultured bacterium
Lineage: Bacteria
Description: bacterial SSU rRNA
Rfam family: Bacterial small subunit ribosomal RNA
Source: RNAcentral